GGCCAAGGCUACGAAGGUUGAGAAAAAGACAGAGCCGAGUUGCUGAGUCGAGGCCCUUCGAUAGUUGAGGCAUUACGGGAGUCAGAGGAAUUCUCUUGAGUGAAGGUCGAGUUCGGCCAUGAAGCCUACAGCACCAGAAAGGAUGACUACCAUAGGAAGAUUACAGCAUGCUUUCCAAAUCUUGAACUAACCAUCCUGAAUGAAGGAUAAGGGGAGG
This 217-nucleotide long non-coding RNA is filed under the name Elaeis guineensis (African oil palm). RNAcentral describes it as "long non-coding RNA (EGUI_LNC065857)". Lineage: Eukaryota; Viridiplantae; Streptophyta; Magnoliopsida; Arecales; Arecaceae. The record is from RNAcentral.